This 851-nucleotide long non-coding RNA is filed under the name Homo sapiens (human). RNAcentral describes it as "HSALNT0021832". The record is from RNAcentral. Lineage: Eukaryota; Metazoa; Chordata; Mammalia; Primates; Hominidae.
GCUGGUUGAAAAUCAUAUUCUCAAGCACAGAAAAAUUAACUGUAUUCCAGAGCAUUUCCUUGUUUAUCUCCUUACCAAGCCUAAAACUCAACUAAUCCUUCUUUCAAACAGCUGGCAAACUCCCUUUUCUGAGAGGAGUGACUCAUAAGUUAUAGGAAAUCCACAAAAACUACGAUUUUUUCCCCCAACAAACUUAAUAACAGGCACAGAAGGGGCGGGGGGGGGGGGGGGCGGAAGGCCAGAAAGAGAACAGACAGAGAAGAGCAUUCAGUCUGUUUACUCCAAGGGCGUCACACCGUGCCAAUAUCCAGAGCUUCCUAAAAGCAAAUGUUCAAACUGCAGUUUCUGGACACACUGUCCUAGAAGUUGAACAGAUCCUUCAAGCCCAUGCACCAAGAAAUUCUGAAAAUAAAUAACUAGGUACUGCAAACCUACUGCACUCCCAUCACAGAAAUCUUUCAAAUUACAAAUCCCCUAAUUAGGCGCGGAAAAGAACACCGCACUCUUCCCUAAGAAAACCGACACCUCGUUGACCAAAGAGAAAGGAAAGCAAGUUCAUCUCCAACAUCCAAACCACAAAGCCAGGUUUCUACUAAAUAAAGUCCUCAAAUACACUCUAAUCUGAGAUGAGAUGCUUCACCAGCUCCAAAAUCCGCCCGACGUUCUUGCCGCCUGGAGGCCCCCACGUUCCCCUCCAGGCUUGGCCUCCCACGCUCGCCCUCGUUCCUGCGACUCUCGGUCCCCGUCGACACCAAAGGAGGAGGCCGCCAAGGCAUCCCCGCUGCAAGCCCGCUACCCGCCGACUCACCUGGUCCCCCCUACGUUCAGUUGGACGAUCUCGCCGCUGCCGG